RNAcentral lists this unclassified non-coding RNA (200 nucleotides) under Polyporales sp. RNAcentral's name for it is "partial internal transcribed spacer 2". The record is from RNAcentral. Lineage: Eukaryota; Fungi; Basidiomycota; Agaricomycetes; Polyporales.
UUAAGUUCAGCGGGUAGUCCUACCUGAUUUGAGGUCAGAGGUCAUAAAGUUGUCUCUCAAGUGAGACGGUUAGAAGCUCGCCAAACGCUUCACGGUCGCGGCGUAGAUAUUAUCACACCGAGAGCCGAUCCGCAAGGAAUCAAGCUAAUGCAUUUAAGAGGAGCCGACCGAUCAAGGCCGACAAGCCUCCAAGUCCAAGC